UCGUAUCUUGAAAUCUCUUUCGUAACAAAAGACAAUAUUUUCUGAAGCUAAGCAGGGUCGGACCUGGUUAGUACUUGGAUGGGAGACCGCCCUGGAAUACCAGGUGCUGUAAGCC
RNAcentral lists this ribosomal RNA (115 nucleotides) under Hippocampus comes (tiger tail seahorse). The record is from RNAcentral. Lineage: Eukaryota; Metazoa; Chordata; Actinopteri; Syngnathiformes; Syngnathidae.